RNAcentral lists this ribosomal RNA (445 nucleotides) under uncultured bacterium. RNAcentral's name for it is "bacterial SSU rRNA". It matches the Rfam family "Bacterial small subunit ribosomal RNA", at positions 331 to 792 of the family's 1533-position model. The record is from RNAcentral.
CCAGACUCCUACGGGAGGCAGCAGUGGGGGAUAUUGCACAAUGGGGGGAACCCUGAUGCAGCGACGCCGCGUGGGUGAAGGAGUGCUUCGGCAUGUAAAGCCCUAUCGGCAGGGAAGAAGCAAGACGGUACCUGACUAAGAAGCCCCGGCUAACUACGUGCCAGCAGCCGCGGUAAUACGUAGGGGGCAAGCGUUAUCCGGAUUUACUGGGUGUAAAGGGAGCGUAGACGGCAGUGCAAGUCCGGAGUGAAAGCCCGGGGCUCAACCCUGGGACUGCUCUGGAAACUGUAAAGCUGGAGUGCGGGAGGGGCAGGCGGAAUUCCUGGUGUAGCGGUGAAAUGCGUAGAUAUUAGGAGGAACACCAGUGGCGAAGGCGGCCUGCUGGGCUUUAACUGACGCUGAGGCUCGAAAGCGUGGGUAGCAAACAGGAUUAGAUACCCGUGUA